GUCUACGGCCAUACCACCCUGAACACACCCGAUCUCAUCUGAUCUUGGAAGCUAAGCACGGUCAGGCCUGGUUAGUACUUGGAUGGGAGUCUGCCUGGGAAUACCGGGUGCCAUAGGCU
This 119-nucleotide ribosomal RNA is filed under the name Cebus imitator (Panamanian white-faced capuchin). The record is from RNAcentral. Lineage: Eukaryota; Metazoa; Chordata; Mammalia; Primates; Cebidae.